CAGUCGCCGCGGGAAUACGAAGGGUGCAAGCGUUAAUCGGAAUUACUGGGCGUAAAGCGCGCGUAGGUGGUUUGGUAAGAUGGAUGUGAAAUCCCCGGGCUCAACCUGGGAACUGCAUCCAUAACUGCCUGACUAGAGUACGGUAGAGGGUGGUGGAAUUUCCUGUGUAGCGGUGAAAUGCGUAGAUAUAGGAAGGAACACCAGUGGCGAAGGCGACCACCUGGACUGAUACUGACACUGAGGUGCGAAAGCGUGGGGAGCAAACAGGAUUAGAUACCCGGGUAGUCCCUGUCUCUUAUAA
RNAcentral lists this ribosomal RNA (301 nucleotides) under uncultured bacterium. Its description in RNAcentral is "partial 16S ribosomal RNA". It matches the Rfam family "Bacterial small subunit ribosomal RNA", at positions 509 to 809 of the family's 1533-position model. The record is from RNAcentral.